Cryptotermes secundus is the source of this 1649-nucleotide long non-coding RNA. RefSeq lists it as uncharacterized. The record is from RefSeq and is a predicted model, not a curated record. Lineage: Eukaryota; Metazoa; Arthropoda; Insecta; Blattodea; Kalotermitidae. The transcript is spliced from 5 exons.
UUUCUUCUUGUGUACACGGUGGUGCACGAAAUGAUCCAGUAUUUGAUCUGAUGAUAAAAUCUUUAUUUCAAUUACAGUACUUGAAACUAAUAUACAAAAAGAAAGACAAUUGCAUGGAGAUUUAUCCUCUGCAAAUCAAGUGUUCAUAUAUGUCUGGCAACUUCUUCAACACACAUUUUGAUCUUGUUGAUUUCUUGACGGCACAUACCCUCAGUUAUUUCAUUGCAGGCCUAAAUGAUUAGUGCUCUCAAUUCUAUUAUUGUUUGUGCCUUUUUUUGGAAAAAUCUUUUCUUUAAGGAAUCCUGAAGAAAGUAGUCAUGUGAGUUUAAAUCAGGACUGUUCGGGGGCCACUUCUGUCCACAUGAAAAACAGUCAAGAAAUAGGUUUGAGAUGACAUGUGAGUCAAAAGUGUCAUGCAGAAAGCCCAAAACAACAUUCGCUGUGUGUAGCAAGAAGAUGAGGAUGCAAAUACUGAAGAAACUGCAAUGGCUAUUCUGGAAACAGAUUCUGAAUAGAUGUCAUCUUUGUUUGUUCUAAGAUUUUUCAUUCUUUAUCCAGAUAUCUGUGAGAACAAUGAUACAUUACAAAGGUAGAAAAUAAUGUUGCAUAUGUAGAGGUAUGGUAGCUCUGGACCAUUCAGUAAGCUCUCGAUGACAUCUCGGAAGCCCAUCUGACUGGCCACACGAUAUUUAAUUUCAACAUCUGAUAUUCCCAACACAAAUUUCUUCAUCUGCUGAGCCAUCUCUUGGGUAAUAUUUGCUUCCAGCUGAAAUCUGGUUGAGAAGAACAACACAAUUACAAGUAGUAUCUGUGCUGGAUCCUUUGCCACAUGCAAUUUAUUGCUCCUCCAAAUGUUCCUCAUUAUCUCUACAUUUAACAGCCAGCUUAUAAUGAAAUUAAGCUACAAGCAGAGCUGCUUUAAGGAAAUGUACUAUGAAGAAGACUUCUCAUUAAGAAAUGGCAGCCAUUUUUGGUCUCAAGAACUCCAGACUUUGGCAACAUAAAGAAAGACAACUUUAAUAAGUCAAGCCAAUAAUCUGCAAUAUUUCUGACAACGUUAUAAACAAUCUCAGCACAAAAACAUCAUGCCAUGAAACCAUAUUUGGGAAUAGAAGUAUAGCUCCACAUAUUCCUAACAUCAACACCACAUGCAGGCAACAGCUCGACAGACACCCUCCAAUAUGCACAUGCAACAAUAGGAUGAAUGUUCAUAGCUCAUUGCUAAGCAACAGUCAGCGCACAAAUGGACUGGCAGGAUAACUAUCAUGUGACUGGUUUUCUAUGGGGUCUGGGCCAUGACCGUUCUAUGCAACGGAUCGGUAAACAAGCCUCAACAACAGAUAGACUGUUUUCUGUGUGGUCCAUGCCAUGGCUAUAGAACGAGAUUCCCAAAAAUAACCAAGGCAGGGAGUGACAGAGUUGAGAGUUGUGAGUUCUCGGUAGGGGACAGCCACAGAAAGUUUGUCGACUUGUGAAGAUUUAAAGGGUGAUCAAAAGCUUCAUUCAUGUGUAAUACUUGGAGUGUGUGAUUCAGUGAGACUUAUAGUUCCUGCAUUUUAAUUGUGGUACCAGGAGAAGACCAGUGUGUGUAAAUCAGCAGUAGCUUUGUAUUUUAAUGUGAUUAAAAGAACUUGUAACCAAGGUGCUAA